This 253-nucleotide ribosomal RNA is filed under the name uncultured bacterium. Its description in RNAcentral is "partial 16S ribosomal RNA". It matches the Rfam family "Bacterial small subunit ribosomal RNA", at positions 524 to 776 of the family's 1533-position model. The record is from RNAcentral.
UACAGAGGGUGCAAGCGUUAAUCGGAAUUACUGGGCGUAAAGCGUGCGUAGACGGUUACGUAAGUCGGGUGUGAAAUCUCCCGGCUCAACUGGGAGGGUGCGCCGGAUACUGAGGGGCUAGAGUGUGGGAGAGGAAAGUGGAAUUCCUGGUGUAGCGGUGAAAUGCGUAGAUAUCAGGAGGAACACCGGUGGUGUAAACGGCUUUCUGGACCAUAACUGACGCUGAGGCACGAAAGCCAGGGGAGCGAACGGG